RNAcentral lists this unclassified non-coding RNA (242 nucleotides) under plant metagenome. RNAcentral describes it as "partial contains small subunit ribosomal RNA, internal transcribed spacer 1, and 5.8S ribosomal RNA". The record is from RNAcentral.
UCUCCGUUGGUGAACCAGCGGAGGGGUCAUUACCGAGUUUUCAACUCCCAAACCCUUUUGUGAACAUACCUAUCGUUGCUUCGGCGGACUCGCCCCAGCGUCCGGCCGGCCCCGCGCCGGCCGCGGCCUGGAUCCAGGCGGCCGCCGGAGACCCCCAAACUCUGUAUUCUCAGUACCUUCUGAAUCCGCCGCAAGGCAAAACAAAUGAAUCAAAACUUUCAACAACGGAUCUCUUGGUUCUG